Molecule: RNA transcript, 1416 nt
Organism: Lemur catta (Ring-tailed lemur)
Lineage: Eukaryota; Metazoa; Chordata; Mammalia; Primates; Lemuridae
Gene: SNX12
Gene name: sorting nexin 12
Exons: 7
Source: RefSeq, a predicted model, not a curated record
GCGCUGCAGUCAGCGUGGCCACUAUUCAGGGUGCAGGGCCCGGGGCCGGGGCGGCGUGCGCGUGCGUGAGUGCGUGCGCGCCCGUGCACGGCGCCGCUGUCUGUGGGUUGGCUGGUUAUUUUGCAAGCGGGAGGGGCUGUGCGCGCUCCUGUCUCCGGCCUCUGUUCCCCACCCCCCUUUCCCGGUCAAAGUCUCUCCUUCGGAAAAAUGUCGGACACGGCAGUCGCUGACACUCGGCGCCUUAACUCCAAGCCGCAGGACCUGACCGACGCUUACGGACCGCCAAGUAACUUCCUGGAGAUCGACAUCUUUAAUCCUCAGACGGUGGGCGUGGGCCGCGCGCGCUUCACCACCUAUGAGGUUCGCAUGCGGACAAACCUACCUAUCUUCAAGCUGAAGGAGUCCUGUGUACGGCGGCGCUACAGUGACUUUGAGUGGCUGAAGAAUGAGCUGGAGCGAGAUAGUAAGAUUGUAGUACCACCACUGCCUGGAAAAGCCUUGAAACGGCAGCUCCCUUUCCGAGGAGAUGAAGGGAUCUUUGAAGAGUCUUUCAUUGAAGAAAGGAGGCAGGGCCUUGAACAGUUUAUUAACAAAAUUGCUGGGCACCCACUGGCUCAGAACGAACGCUGCCUACACAUGUUCCUGCAGGAGGAGGCAAUUGACAGGAACUACGUCCCUGGGAAGGACCAUUUGCAACUCACAAUAUACAGAGGACUAUCAAUCAUCAGAAAAAAAGAACACAAAGAAGCUGUUGCUUGUAUAGCCCUCUGUCACUAGUGACCUGGGAUAUUGAGCUCUUAGGCUUUCAGAAUUCCAGUUUAUGAGGCAAUCUGUGUCAUUCUGGUUUAGCCAGCAGUUUACAGAAGUUUCAGCGUCAGAACCUCUUGGAGAUCAGGCUACACUAAGUGAAAAUUAGGCCCAUUUGAAGAAAGGUAAUUUCCUUUGUUUCCUGAGUUUGUGAGAAAUUAGGUCCUCUAUACUUUCUGUGAUGGUUAAUUUUAGGCGUCAACUUGACUGGAUUAAGGAAUACUUAGAAACCUGGAAAAGCAUUAUUUUAGGGUUUGUCUGUGAGAGUGUUUCCAGAAGAGAUUAUCAUGUGAGUCUGAAUGGACUGGGUAGGGAAGAUCUGCCCUCAAUGUGGUUGGGCACCAUUCAAUCUGCUAGGGACCUGUAGAGAACAAAAAAUGGGGAAAAGGUGAAUAUGUUGAUCUAUCUGUUGGAGCUGGGAUACACUUAUCUCCUGCCUUGGACAACAGACACCAGGCUCCCCACUCUUUGGACUCUAGGACUUAAUACCAGUGGCUCCCCCAACUCGUGCCAGGUUCUCAGGCCUUUGUCCUUGGACUGAGAGUUAUACCAUCAGCUUCCCCACUUCUCUCUUUUUUUUUUAUUUCAGCAUAUUACGGGGGUACAAAA